UACGUAGGGUGCAAGCGUUGUUCGGAAUUACUGGCGUAAAGCGCACGUAGGCGGCUUUGUAAGUUAGAGGUGAAAGCCCGGGGCUCAACUCCGGAACUGCCUUUAAGACUGCAUCGCUUGAAUCCAGGAGAGGUGAGUGGAAUUCCGAGUGUAGAGGUGAAAUUCGUAGAUAUUCGGAAGAACACCAGUGGCGAAGGCGGCUCACUGGACUGGUAUUGACGCUCAUGCACGAAAGCGUGGGGAGCAAACAGG
RNAcentral lists this ribosomal RNA (252 nucleotides) under uncultured bacterium. Its description in RNAcentral is "partial 16S ribosomal RNA". It matches the Rfam family "Bacterial small subunit ribosomal RNA", at positions 524 to 776 of the family's 1533-position model. The record is from RNAcentral.